RNAcentral lists this ribosomal RNA (379 nucleotides) under uncultured cyanobacterium. RNAcentral's name for it is "bacterial SSU rRNA". It matches the Rfam family "Bacterial small subunit ribosomal RNA", at positions 376 to 770 of the family's 1533-position model. Lineage: Bacteria; Bacillati; Cyanobacteriota. The record is from RNAcentral.
CGAAAGCCUGACGGAGCAAUACCGCGUGAGGGAGGAAGGCCUUUGGGUUGUAAACCUCUUUUCUCAGGGAAGAAGAUCUGACGGUACCUGAGGAAUAAGCAUCGGCUAACUCCGUGCCAGCAGCCGCGGUAAUACGGAGGAUGCAAGCGUUAUCCGGAAUUAUUGGGCGUAAAGCGUCCGUAGGUGGUUUAUCAAGUCUGCUGUUAAAGCAUGGAGCUUAACUCCAUAAAGGCAGUGGAAACUGGUGAACUUGAGUUCGGUAGGGGUAGCGGGAAUUCCCAGUGUAGCGGUGAAAUGCGUAGAGAUUGGGAAGAACACCAGUGGCGAAGGCGCUCUACUGGACCGAAACUGACACUGAGGGACGAAAGCUAAGGUAGCG